RNAcentral lists this long non-coding RNA (1794 nucleotides) under Calidris pugnax (ruff). Its description in RNAcentral is "lncRNA (ENSCPUG00000005132.1)". Lineage: Eukaryota; Metazoa; Chordata; Aves; Charadriiformes; Scolopacidae. The record is from RNAcentral.
GGAAAAGAGAGAAGAGAGAGAGAGGAGGAGGAGGAAGAAGGAAAAGAGAGAAGAGAGAGAGAGGAGGAGGAGGAAGAAAAAGAGAGAAGAAAAAGAGAGAGAGAGAAGGAAGCAGAGGAGGAGGAAGAAGAGAGAGAAGAAGAGGAGGAGGAAGGAGAGGAGGAGGAAGAAGAGAGAGAAGAAGAGGAGGAGGAAGGAGAGGAGGAGGAAGAAGAGAGAGAAGAAGAGGAGGAGGAAGGAGAGGAGGAGGAAGAAGAGAGAGAAGAAGAGGAGGAGGAAGGAGAGGAGGAGGAAGAAGAGAGAGAAGAAGAGGAGGAGGAAGGAGAGGAGGAGGAAGAAGAGAGAGAAGAAGAGGAGGAGGAAGGAGAGGAGGAGGAAGAAGAGAGAGAAGAAGAGGAGGAGGAAGGAGAGGAGGAGGAAGAAGAGAGAGAAGAAGAGGAGGAGGAAGGAGAGGAGGAGGAAGAAGAGAGAGAAGAAGAGGAGGAGGAAGGAGAGGAGGAGGAAGAAGAGAGAGAAGAAGAGGAGGAGGAAGGAGAGGAGGAGGAAGAAGAGAGAGAAGAAGAGGAGGAGGAAGGAGAGGAGGAGGAAGAAGAGAGAGAAGAAGAGGAGGAGGAAGGAGAGGAGGAGGAAGAAGAGAGAGAGGAAGAAAAAGAGGAGGAGGAAAAAAAAGAGAAGAAAGAGAGGGGAGGAAGGAGGAGGAGGAGGAAGAAAAAGAGAGAAGAAAAAGAGAGAGAGAGAAGGAAGCAGAGGAGGAGGAAGAAGAGAGAGAGGAAGAAAAAGAGGAGGAGGAAAAAAAAGAGAAGAAAGAGAGAGGAGGAAGGAGGAGGAGGAGGAAGAAGAGAGAGAAGAAGAGGAGGAGGAAGAAAAGGAGGAGGAAGAAAAAGAAAGAGAGAAAGAGAAGGAAGGAGAGGAGAGAGGAGGAGGAAGAAAAAGAGAGAAGAAAAAGAGAGAGAGAGAAGGAAGCAGAGGAGGAGGAAGAAGAGAGAGAGGAAGAAAAAGAGGAGGAGGAAAAAAAAGAGAAGAAAGAGAGAGGAGGAAGGAGGAGGAGGAGGAAGAAGAGAGAGAAGAAGAGGAGGAGGAAGAAAAGGAGGAGGAAGAAAAAGAAAGAGAGAGAGAGAAGGAAGGAGAGGAGAGAGGAGGAGGAAGAAAAAGAGAGAAGAGGAGAGAGGAGGAAGGAGAGAAGAGGAGAGAGGAGGAAGGAGAGAAGAGGAGAGAGGAGGAAGGAGAGAAGAGGAGAGAGGAGGAAGGAGAGAAGAGGAGAGAGGAGGAAGGAGAGAAGAGGAGAGAGGAGGAAGGAGAGAAGAGGAGAGAGGAGGAAGGAGAGAAGAGGAGAGAGGAGGAAGGAGAGAAGAGGAGAGAGGAGGAAGGAGAGAAGAGGAGAGAGGAGGAAGGAGAGAAGAGGAGAGAGGAGGAAGGAGAGAAGAGGAGAGAGGAGGAAGGAGAGAAGAGGAGAGAGGAGGAAGGAGAGAAGAGGAGAGAGGAGGAAGGAGAGAAGAGGAGAGAGGAGGAAGGAGAGAAGAGGAGAGAGGAGGAAGGAGAGAAGAGGAGAGAGGAGGAAGGAGAGAAGAGGAGAGAGGAGGAAGGAGAGAAGAGAGAGAGGCGGAGGAGGAUGAAGAAGACGAUAGAGGGAGGGAUGAAGAAGAUGACAGAGGGAGGAUGAGGAAGAUGACAAGCAGGGGCUCUUCAGCCACCUUCCCGUGCAUUUUGGCAGUGACCCCCAGGCGAGGACAGUGUGAAGCAGGGGCAGCCCCCGCCCGCAGCCAACUUACAGUGGAAAUAGCCAAAUGGAGCUAA